Molecule: ribosomal RNA, 269 nt
Filed under: uncultured Planctomycetales bacterium
Lineage: Bacteria; Pseudomonadati; Planctomycetota; Planctomycetia; Planctomycetales
Description: partial 16S ribosomal RNA
Rfam family: Bacterial small subunit ribosomal RNA
Source: RNAcentral
GAGCACGUAGGUGGGUUUGUAAGUCAGAUGUGAAAGCCUUCUGUUCAACGGAAGAAUUGCAUCUGAAACUGCGAGUCUUGAGUGUAGGAGGGGAGAAUGGAACUUCUGGUGGAGCGGUGAAAUGCGUAGAUAUCAGAAGGAACGCCGGCGGCGAAAGCGAUUCUCUGGCCUAUUACUGACACUCAGUGUGCGAAAGCUAGGGGAGCAAACGGGAUUAAAUACCCCGGUAGUCCUAGCCGUAAACGAUGGGCACUAAGUAGAGGGGUUUU